This 254-nucleotide ribosomal RNA is filed under the name uncultured bacterium. RNAcentral describes it as "partial 16S ribosomal RNA". It matches the Rfam family "Bacterial small subunit ribosomal RNA", at positions 524 to 776 of the family's 1533-position model. The record is from RNAcentral.
UACGUAGGGUGCAAGCGUUGUCCGGAAUUACUGGGCGUAAAGCGCGCGCAGGCGGCUCUUUAAGUCUGACGGUGAAAUGCCGGGGCUCAACCCCGUGCCCGCCGCGGAUACUGGAGGGCUGGAGACACGUAGAGGCAAGCGGAAUUCCGGGUGUAGCGGUGGAAUGCGUAGAGAUCCGGAAGAACACCGGAGGCGAAGGCGGCUUGCUGGGCGUAGUCUGACGCUGAGGCGCGAAAGCGUGGGGAGCGAACAGG